Molecule: non-coding RNA, 943 nt
Filed under: Schistocephalus solidus
Lineage: Eukaryota; Metazoa; Platyhelminthes; Cestoda; Diphyllobothriidea; Diphyllobothriidae
Description: Eukaryotic large subunit ribosomal RNA
Rfam family: Eukaryotic large subunit ribosomal RNA
Source: Rfam by way of RNAcentral
GUGUUGCCUGCGCAAAGCGGGUCCGGCGGUGGUCUGGUGUUGGGUGGUCUUACAUGCGGCGCCUCCUGUACGAGUCGGCGUGGGCCAAACAGUCUGUGGUGUUGUGGUAGACGAGCUACCCGACCCGUCUUGAAACACGGACCAAGGAGUUUAUCAUGCACGCGAGUCAAUGGGUCCCACGAAACCCAAAGGCGCAGUGAAAGUGAAGUCUCGACUUGUUCUCGGGAUGUGGUGAGAUGCCACUGUUUCUCGCACCUCGCCUUGCGCGUUCAGCACCAGGCAGAAGAGCAGUGGUCGCAUCACCGGCCCGUCCCAUGAUGUGGUCGUUGGAAAGGCGUGGAUCGUUCUGCGGUCUGGGCUGGAGCCGGCGCGUCAUCGGGGCGGAGCAGGAGCGUGCACGAUAAGACCCGAAAGAUGGUGAAUUAUGCUUGCGUAGGUUGAAGCCAGAGGAAACUCUGGUGGAGAACCGCAGCGAUUCUGACGUGCAAAUCGAUCGUCAAACGUGAGUAUAGGGGCGAAAGACUAAUCGAACCAUCUAGUAGCUGGUUCCCUCCGAAAUUUCCCUCAGGAUAGCUGGCACUCAUUCGCAAGAUCAGUUUUAUCCGGUAAAGCGAAUGAUUAGAGGUACUGGGUUCGAAACGAGCUCAGCCUAUUCUCAAACUUUAAAUGGGUGAGAUGCCCGGCUCGCUUUGUAGGAGUCGGGCGUUGAAUGUGCGAGUGCCAAGGGGGCCAUUUUUGGUAAGCAGAACUGGCGCUGUGGGAUGAACGAAAAAAAGAAAAAGUAGCUACCAAAUAGCCACAAGAAAGCACAUUUUUAUGCAUAUUUUCCAUGAAAUGUAUUUGCAUUUACAAGGGCAUUUGAAAUCAAUGGGGAAGAUUCAUGUGCAACAUUAGUCAUUUUUAAAGGGUGUUGAUUAUGCAGGCAACCUAAAAUAAACUCCUU